UACGUAGGGUCCGAGCGUUGUCCGGAGUUACUGGGCGUAAAGCGCGCGCAGGCGGCGGUGCUGGCCCGGCGUGAAAGCCCCCGGCUCAACCGGGGAGAGUCGUCGGGGACCGCACCGCUUGAGGGCGGCAGGGGCUGGUGGAAUGCCUGGUGUAGUGGUGAAAUGCGUAGAGAUCAGGCAGAACACCUGGGGCGAAGGCGGCCAGCUGGGCCGUCCCUGACGCUGAGGCGCGAAGGCGUGGGGAGCGAACGGG
Molecule: ribosomal RNA, 253 nt
Filed under: uncultured bacterium
Lineage: Bacteria
Description: partial 16S ribosomal RNA
Rfam family: Bacterial small subunit ribosomal RNA
Source: RNAcentral